Molecule: ribosomal RNA, 638 nt
Filed under: Pleurotus eryngii
Lineage: Eukaryota; Fungi; Basidiomycota; Agaricomycetes; Agaricales; Pleurotaceae
Description: eukaryotic LSU rRNA
Rfam family: 5.8S ribosomal RNA (bases 245-398)
Source: RNAcentral
AAGGAUCAUUAAUGAAUUCACUAUGGAGUUGUUGCUGGCCUCUAGGGGCAUGUGCACGCUUCACUAGUCUUUCAACCACCUGUGAACUUUUGAUAGAUCUGUGAAGUCGUCUCUCAAGUCGUUAGACUUGGUUUGCUGGGAUGUAAACGUCUCGGUGUGACUACGCAGUCUAUUUACUUAUAACACCCCAAAUGUAUGUCUACGAAUGUCAUUUAAAGGGCCUUGUGCCUAUAAACCAUAAUACAACUUUCAACAACGGAUCUCUUGGCUCUCGCAUCGAUGAAGAACGCAGCGAAAUGCGAUAAGUAAUGUGAAUUGCAGAAUUCAGUGAAUCAUCGAAUCUUUGAACGCACCUUGCGCCCCUUGGUAUUCCGAGGGGCAUGCCUGUUUGAGUGUCAUUAAAUUCUCAAACUCACUCUGGUUUUUUCCAAUUGUGAUGUUUGGAUUGUUGGGGGCUGCUGGCCUUGACAGGUCGGCUCCUCUUAAAUGCAUUAGCAGGACUUCUCAUUGCCUCUGCGCAUGAUGUGAUAAUUAUCACUCAUCAAUAGCACGCAUGAAUAGAGUCUGGCUCUCUAACCGUCCGCAAGGCAAUUUGACAAUUUGACCUCAAAUCAGGUAGGACUACCCGCUGAACUUAA